Molecule: ribosomal RNA, 594 nt
Filed under: Cirrhinus microlepis (small scale mud carp)
Lineage: Eukaryota; Metazoa; Chordata; Actinopteri; Cypriniformes; Cyprinidae
Description: partial 16S ribosomal RNA
Rfam family: Bacterial large subunit ribosomal RNA
Source: RNAcentral
AAAACAUCGCCUCCUGCAACACAACCAUGUAUAGGAGGUCCAGCCUGCCCAGUGACUACAAGUUCAACGGCCGCGGUAUUUUGACCGUGCAAAGGUAGCGCAAUCACUUGUCUUUUAAAUAGAGACCUGUAUGAAUGGCCAAACGAGGGCUUAACUGUCUCCCUUUUCCAGUCAGUGAAAUUGAUCUGCCCGUGCAGAAGCGGACAUAUUAUUACAAGACGAGAAGACCCUUUGGAGCUUAAGGUACAAAACUCAACCACGUCAAGCAACUCAACAAAAAGCAAAAACUUUGCGGAAAAUGAGAUUUUACCUUCGGUUGGGGCGACCACGGAGGAAAAUAAAGCCUCCAAGUGGACUGGGAUAUACCUCCUAAAACUAAGAGAAACAUCUCUAAGCCACAGAACAUCUGACCAAACAUGAUCCGGCCACCUAUUGACCGAUCAACGAACCAAGUUACCCUAGGGAUAACAGCGCAAUCCUCUCCCAGAGUCCAUAUCGACGAGAGGGUUUACGACCUCGAUGUUGGAUCAGGACAUCCUAAUGGUGCAGCCGCUAUUAAGGGUUCGUUUGUUCAACGAUUAAAGUCCUACGUGA